RNAcentral lists this unclassified non-coding RNA (364 nucleotides) under uncultured bacterium. Its description in RNAcentral is "contains 16S-23S intergenic spacer region". The record is from RNAcentral.
UCCCGGUUGGCCCGGGCAGUCUCGCAUGAAAAAUUCAACAUACGACAAGGGUUGCGCUCGUUGCGGGACUUAACCCAACAUCUCACGACACGAGCUGACGACGGCCAUGCAGCACCUGUCACUAGGCUCCCGAAGGCACCCUCUGAUUUCUCAAAGGUUCCUAGGAUGUCAAGCCUGGGUAAGGUUCUUCGCGUAUCGUCAAAUUAAACCACAUCAUCCACCGCUUGUGCGGGUCCCCGUCAAUUCCUUUGAGUUUUAACCUUGCGGUCGUACUUCCCAGGCGGCAUACUUAUCGCGUUAGCUUCUUGGCCCAGGGGGUCGAUACCCCAAACCAAUAGUAUGCAUCGUUUACGGCGUGGACUAC